GACGAACGCUGGCGGCGUGCUUAACACAUGCAAGUCGAACGGUAAGGCUCCAGCUUGCUGGGGUACACGAGUGGCGAACGGGUGAGUAACACGUGGGUGACCUGCCCUGCACUUCGGGAUAAGCCUGGGAAACUGGGUCUAAUACCGGAUAGGACCGCACCGUGAGGGUGUGGUGGAAAGUUUUUUCGGUGUGGGAUGGGCCCGCGGCCUAUCAGCUUGUUGGUGGGGUAAUGGCCUACCAAGGCGGCGACGGGUAGCCGGCCUGAGAGGGUGGACGGCCACAUUGGGACUGAGACACGGCCCAGACUCCUACGGGAGGCAGCAGUGGGGAAUAUUGCACAAUGGGCGGAAGCCUGAUGCAGCGACGCCGCGUGGGGGAUGACGGCCUUCGGGUUGUAAACUCCUUUCACCAUCGACGAAGGGUUUCUGACGGUAGAUGGAGAAGAAGCACCGGCUAACUACGUGCCAGCAGCCGCGGUAAUACGUAGGGUGCGAGCGUUGUCCGGAAUUACUGGGCGUAAAGAGCUCGUAGGUGGUUUGUCGCGUCGUCUGUGAAAUUCCGGGGCUUAACUCCGGGCGUGCAGGCGAUACGGGCAUAACUUGAGUACUGUAGGGGAGACUGGAAUUCCUGGUGUAGCGGUGAAAUGCGCAGAUAUCAGGAGGAACACCGGUGGCGAAGGCGGGUCUCUGGGCAGUAACUGACGCUGAGGAGCGAAAGCAUGGGGAGCGAACAGGAUUAGAUACCCUGGUAGUCCAUGCCGUAAACGGUGGGCGCUAGGUGUGGGUUUCCUUCCACGGGAUCCGUGCCGUAGCUAACGCAUUAAGCGCCCCGCCUGGGGAGUACGGCCGCAAGGCUAAAACUCAAAGGAAUUGACGGGGGCCCGCACAAGCGGCGGAGCAUGUGGAUUAAUUCGAUGCAACGCGAAGAACCUUACCUGGGCUUGACAUAUACAGGAUCGCGCCAGAGAUGGUGUUUCCCUUGUGGCUUGUAUACAGGUGGUGCAUGGUUGUCGUCAGCUCGCGUCGUGAGAUGUUGGGUUAAGUCCCGCAACGAGCGCAACCCUUGUCUUAUGUUGCCAGCACGUUGUGGUGGGGACUCGUAAGAAACUGCCGGGGUUAACUCGGAGGAAGGUGGGGAUGACGUCAAAUCAUCAUGCCCCUUAUGUCCAGGGCUUCACACAUGCUACAAUGGUCGGUACAGUGGGUUGCCAGUCCGUGAGGGCGAGCUAAUCCCGCAAAGCCGGUCUCAGUUCGGAUCGGGGUCUGCAACUCGACCCCGUGAAGUCGGAGUCGCUAGUAAUCGCAGAUCAGCAACGCUGCGGUGAAUACGUUCCCGGGCCU
This 1341-nucleotide ribosomal RNA is filed under the name uncultured bacterium. RNAcentral's name for it is "partial 16S ribosomal RNA". It matches the Rfam family "Bacterial small subunit ribosomal RNA", at positions 28 to 1381 of the family's 1533-position model. The record is from RNAcentral.